Molecule: microRNA precursor, 103 nt
Filed under: Marmota monax (woodchuck)
Lineage: Eukaryota; Metazoa; Chordata; Mammalia; Rodentia; Sciuridae
Source: RNAcentral
AGUGGGAUAGCUGGGUCAAAAUGUGGUUCCAUUCCAACUUUUCCAAGAAAUCUCCAUACUGCUUUCCAUAUUGGCUGCAGCAUUUUGCAGUCCCAUCAGCAAU